RNAcentral lists this ribosomal RNA (1535 nucleotides) under metagenome. Its description in RNAcentral is "bacterial SSU rRNA". It matches the Rfam family "Bacterial small subunit ribosomal RNA". The record is from RNAcentral.
AGAGUUUGAUUCUGGCUCAGAACGAACGCUGGCGGCGUGGAUAAGACAUGCAAGUCGAACGAUGAUUACGUGGUAGCAAUAUUGCGUAAUUGGAGUGGCGAAAGGGUGCGUAACACGUGGGUAAUCUGCCGUGAAGUUGGGGAUAACCCCGAGAAAUCGGGGCUAAUACCGAAUGUGAAGGUUCAAGGGCAUCUUUGAACCUUUGAAGCUGGGGACCGUAAGGCCUGGCGCUUCACGAUGAGCCCGCGGCCUAUCAGCUAGUUGGCGGGGUAACGGCCCACCAAGGCAAUGACGGGUAGCUGGUCUGAGAGGACGACCAGCCACACUGGAACUGAGACACGGUCCAGACACCUACGGGUGGCAGCAGUCGAGAAUCUUUCACAAUGGGCGAAAGCCUGAUGGAGCGACGCCGCGUGGGGGAUGAAUGGCUUCGGUCCGUAAACCCCUGUCAUUCGCGAGCAAAUCUUUGGGUCUAAUACAUCCAAAGUUGAUAGUAGCGAAAGAGGAAGGGACGGCUAACUCUGUGCCAGCAGCCGCGGUAAUACAGAGGUCCCAAGCGUUGUUCGGAUUCACUGGGCGUAAAGGGUGCGUAGGUGGCAAGGGAAGUUUGAUGUGAAAUCCCCGGGCUCAACCCGGGAACUGCAUUGAAUACUCUCUCGCUCGAGGGUCGGAGGGGAGACUGGAAUUCUCGGUGUAGCAGUGAAAUGCGUAGAUAUCGAGAGGAACACCAGUGGCGAAGGCGAGUCUCUGGACGACACCUGACACUGAGGCACGAAAGCUAGGGGAGCAAACAGGAUUAGAUACCCUGGUAGUCCUAGCCGUAAACGGUGUGCACUUGCUGUGAGCGGAAUCGACCCCGUUCGUGGCGAAGCUAACGCGUUAAGUGCACCGCCUGGGGAGUACGGUCGCAAGAUUAAAACUCAAAGAAAUUGACGGGGGCCUGCACAAGCGGUGGAGUAUGUGGCUUAAUUCGAUUCAACGCGAAGAACCUUACCUGGCCUUGACAUGCAGGUGGUAGAAGCCUGAAAGGGUAACGACUCCGCAAGGAGAGCCUGCACAGGUGCUGCAUGGCUGUCGUCAGCUCGUGUCGUGAGAUGUUGGGUUAAGUCCCGCAACGAGCGCAACCCUUGUGCCCUGUUGCCACCCCUGCGAGAGCGGGGAGCACUCUGGGCAGACUGCCUCGUCUAAACGGGGAGGAAGGUGGGGAUGACGUCAAGUCAGUAUGGCCCUUACGGCCAGGGCUGCACACGUACUACAAUGCUCGGUACAAAGGGACGCAAUACCGCAAGGUGGAGCAAAUCCCGUAAAACCGAGCCCAGUUCAGAUUGUCGUCUGCAACUCGACGGCAUGAAGCCGGAAUCGCUAGUAAUGGCGCAUCAGCUACGGCGCCGUGAAUACGUUCCCAGGCCUUGUACACACCGCCCGUCACAUCAUGAAAGCCGGCUGUACCCGAAGUCAGUGUGCCAACCUCGCGCAAGCGAGGAAGCAGUUGCCGAAGGUAUGGCUGGUGAUUGGGAUGAAGUCGGAACAAGGUA